GACGAACGCUGGCGGCGUGCUUAACACAUGCAAGUCGAACGGGUCUGCCCUGUUUUUUGCGGGGUGGGUCAGUGGCGAACGGGGUAGUAACACGUGAGUAACCUGCCCCUCACUGCUGGAUAACCGCUUGAAAGGGUGGCUAAUACGGGGUGUUCUGGCUGUGCCGCAUGGUGUGGCUGGGAAAGAUUCACUUUUGUGGUGUUUUGGUGGGUGAUGGGCUCGCGGCGUAUCAGCUUGGUGGGGGGGUGAUGGCCAGCCAGGGCUUUGACGUGUAGGCGGCAUGAGAGGGUGGGCGGCCCAAGUGGGAAUGCGCGACGCACCAGACUCCGGGGGGCAGCAGCAGGGGGGGGUAUUGAACAAUGGGCGGAAGGCUGCUGCAGCGACGUCGCGUGAGGGAUGGAGGCCUUCGGGUUGUGAACCUCUUUCGCCGGUGAAGAAGGUCCUGCUAUUGGUGGUGGGGUUGACGGUAGCCGGGUUAUGAAGCGCCGGCUAACUACGUG
Molecule: ribosomal RNA, 500 nt
Filed under: uncultured bacterium
Lineage: Bacteria
Description: partial 16S ribosomal RNA
Rfam family: Bacterial small subunit ribosomal RNA
Source: RNAcentral